CGGCGGACGGGUGAGUAACACGUGGAUAACUUACCUAUAAGACUGGGAUAACUUCGGGAAACCGGAGCUAAUACCGGAUAAUAUAUUGAACCGCAUGGUUCAAUAGUGAAAGACGGUUUUGCUGUCACUUAUAGAUGGAUCCGCGCCGCAUUAGCUAGUUGGUAAGGUAACGGCUUACCAAGGCAACGAUGCGUAGCCGACCUGAGAGGGUGAUCGGCCACACUGGAACUGAGACACGGUCCAG
Molecule: ribosomal RNA, 244 nt
Filed under: uncultured Staphylococcus sp.
Lineage: Bacteria; Bacillati; Bacillota; Bacilli; Caryophanales; Staphylococcaceae
Description: partial 16S ribosomal RNA
Rfam family: Bacterial small subunit ribosomal RNA
Source: RNAcentral